This 124-nucleotide microRNA precursor is filed under the name Oryza nivara. Its description in RNAcentral is "pre miRNA MIR1428". The stretch from base 8 to 117 matches the Rfam family "MIR1428 microRNA precursor family". The record is from RNAcentral. Lineage: Eukaryota; Viridiplantae; Streptophyta; Magnoliopsida; Poales; Poaceae.
GGUUAGUGCGCUUUGCGAAUUUACAUGCCUUAUCUUGUGGUAUGAACUGAGUACGCGAUAAUUUAUGGUGUGUAUUGGGGGCUUACCAUAAGAUAAUGUCGUAAAUUCGUAAAGCAUUCAAACC